RNAcentral lists this ribosomal RNA (1395 nucleotides) under Escherichia coli. Its description in RNAcentral is "partial 23S ribosomal RNA". It matches the Rfam family "Bacterial large subunit ribosomal RNA", at positions 829 to 2207 of the family's 2925-position model. The record is from RNAcentral. Lineage: Bacteria; Pseudomonadati; Pseudomonadota; Gammaproteobacteria; Enterobacterales; Enterobacteriaceae.
CCAAUCAAACCGGGAGAUAGCUGGUUCUCCCCGAAAGCUAUUUAGGUAGCGCCUCGUGAAUUCAUCUCCGGGGGUAGAGCACUGUUUCGGCAAGGGGGUCAUCCCGACUUACCAACCCGAUGCAAACUGCGAAUACCGGAGAAUGUUAUCACGGGAGACACACGGCGGGUGCUAACGUCCGUCGUGAAGAGGGAAACAACCCAGACCGCCAGCUAAGGUCCCAAAGUCAUGGUUAAGUGGGAAACGAUGUGGGAAGGCCCAGACAGCCAGGAUGUUGGCUUAGAAGCAGCCAUCAUUUAAAGAAAGCGUAAUAGCUCACUGGUCGAGUCGGCCUGCGCGGAAGAUGUAACGGGGCUAAACCAUGCACCGAAGCUGCGGCAGCGACACUGUGUGUUGUUGGGUAGGGGAGCGUUCUGUAAGCCUGUGAAGGUGUACUGUGAGGUAUGCUGGAGGUAUCAGAAGUGCGAAUGCUGACAUAAGUAACGAUAAAGCGGGUGAAAAGCCCGCUCGCCGGAAGACCAAGGGUUCCUGUCCAACGUUAAUCGGGGCAGGGUGAGUCGACCCCUAAGGCGAGGCCGAAAGGCGUAGUCGAUGGGAAACAGGUUAAUAUUCCUGUACUUGGUGUUACUGCGAAGGGGGGACGGAGAAGGCUAUGUUGGCCGGGCGACGGUUGUCCCGGUUUAAGCGUGUAGGCUGGUUUUCCAGGCAAAUCCGGAAAAUCAAGGCUGAGGCGUGAUGACGAGGCACUACGGUGCUGAAGCAACAAAUGCCCUGCUUCCAGGAAAAGCCUCUAAGCAUCAGGUAACAUCAAAUCGUACCCCAAACCGACACAGGUGGUCAGGUAGAGAAUACCAAGGCGCUUGAGAGAACUCGGGUGAAGGAACUAGGCAAAAUGGUGCCGUAACUUCGGGAGAAGGCACGCUGAUAUGUAGGUGAAGUCCCUCGCGGAUGGAGCUGAAAUCAGUCGAAGAUACCAGCUGGCUGCAACUGUUUAUUAAAAACACAGCACUGUGCAAACACGAAAGUGGACGUAUACGGUGUGACGCCUGCCCGGUGCCGGAAGGUUAAUUGAUGGGGUCAGCGCAAGCGAAGCUCUUGAUCGAAGCCCCGGUAAACGGCGGCCGUAACUAUAACGGUCCUAAGGUAGCGAAAUUCCUUGUCGGGUAAGUUCCGACCUGCACGAAUGGCGUAAUGAUGGCCAGGCUGUCUCCACCCGAGACUCAGUGAAAUUGAACUCGCUGUGAAGAUGCAGUGUACCCGCGGCAAGACGGAAAGACCCCGUGAACCUUUACUAUAGCUUGACACUGAACAUUGAGCCUUGAUGUGUAGGAUAGGUGGGAGGCUUUGAAGUGUGGACGCCAGUCUGCAUGGAGCCGACCUUGAAAUACCACCCUU